RNAcentral lists this transfer RNA (91 nucleotides) under Betaproteobacteria bacterium. RNAcentral's name for it is "tRNA-Ser". It matches the Rfam family "tRNA". From Rfam's summary of the family: Transfer RNA (tRNA) molecules are approximately 80 nucleotides in length. Their secondary structure includes four short double-helical elements and three loops (D, anti-codon, and T loops). RNAcentral also lists the same sequence under 2 other names. The record is from RNAcentral. Lineage: Bacteria; Pseudomonadati; Pseudomonadota; Betaproteobacteria.
GGAAGGGUGGCAGAGUGGUCGAAUGCGCCGGAUUCGAAAUCCGGUGUACGGUUUUACCGUACCGUGGGUUCGAAUCCCACCCCUUCCGCCA